AUCGCGGAUCAACAAUCCGCGGUGAAUAUGCCCCUGCUCCUUGCACACACCGCCCGUCAAACCACCCGAGUUGGGUUUCAGUAAGGAUAUCUCAUUUUGGGGUCUUCGAACUGAGAUUCAGCAAGGAGGGUUAAGUCGUAACAAGGUAUCUGUAGGGGAACCUGCAGAUGGAUCACCUCCUACGCAA
Molecule: ribosomal RNA, 187 nt
Filed under: Methanomassiliicoccus sp.
Lineage: Archaea; Methanobacteriati; Thermoplasmatota; Thermoplasmata; Methanomassiliicoccales; Methanomassiliicoccaceae
Description: partial 16S ribosomal RNA
Rfam family: Archaeal small subunit ribosomal RNA
Source: RNAcentral